AUGAACGCUGGCGGCGUGCCUCAUACAUGCAAGUCGAGCGAACAGACGAGGAGCUUGCUCCUCUGACGUUAGCGGCGGACGGGUGAGUAACACGUGGAUAACCUACCUAUAAGACUGGGAUAACUUCGGGAAACCGGAGCUAAUACCGGAUAAUAUAUUGAACCGCAUGGUUCAAUAGUGAAAGACGGUUUUGCUGUCACUUAUAGAUGGAUCCGCGCCGCAUUAGCUAGUUGGUAAGGUAACGGCUUACCAAGGCGACGAUGCGUAGCCGACCUGAGAGGGUGAUCGGCCACACUGGAACUGAGACACGGUCCAGACUCCUACGGGAGGCAGCAGUAGGGAAUCUUCCGCAAUGGGCGAAAGCCUGACGGAGCAACGCCGCGUGAGUGAUGAAGGUCUUCGGAUCGUAAAACUCUGUUAUUAGGGAAGAACAAAUGUGUAAGGAACUAUGCACGUCUUGACGGUACCUAAUCAGAAAGCCACGGCUAACUAC
Molecule: ribosomal RNA, 493 nt
Filed under: uncultured bacterium
Lineage: Bacteria
Description: partial 16S ribosomal RNA
Rfam family: Bacterial small subunit ribosomal RNA
Source: RNAcentral